CCCUUAGAUGUUCUGGGCCGCACGCGCGCUACACUGACGAAUGCAACGAGCUUAUAGCCUUGGCCGAAAGGUCUGGGUAAUCUCCAAAUUUCGUCGUGAUGGGGAUAGAUUAUUGCAAUUAUUAAUCUUCAACGAGGAAUGCCUAGUAAGCGCAAGUCAUCAGCUUGCGUUGAUUACGUCCCUGCCCUUUGUACACACCGCCCGUCGCUCCUACCGAUUGAAUGGUCCGGUGAAGCGUUCGGACCGUGGCCUUUGGACGGUUCGCCGUCUGUUGGCUGCGGGAAGUUCGUUAAACCUUAUCAUUUAGAGGAAGGAGAAGUCGUANCA
Molecule: ribosomal RNA, 327 nt
Filed under: uncultured eukaryote
Lineage: Eukaryota
Description: partial 18S ribosomal RNA
Rfam family: Eukaryotic small subunit ribosomal RNA
Source: RNAcentral